GCCUAAUCGCCAAACACCAUUACAUUCUCCUGUUGUAUUAUCAUGGCAAUCAUUUCAUUCAUAUGACGUGUAAACAAUAAAUAUGUCAUUCUUACAUCACGUCUCUCCGGUUUGAACUAGGCUUUUUAGUGGAUUUUUAUAAACAAUUGUUGUCCCAAGAGUAUACAUCCUACUGACAAAGGUGACCCCCUGACCUUUGUGCAGCUUCUGCAGAGGUCACAAAAGGAUGUUACAACUUUUGCAUUAUUAUCCCACCCCCAGAUACAGUAGAGUGUUAUGACAUUUUGUGGAGUAGUAGCAGACUCAGGCUUUCUGAAGGGCAACACAUAUUAACAUUUGUAUAAUGAGUACUUUUACUUUUGGUACUUUAAGUAUAUUUUGAUGCUGAUACUUUUGUACUUCUACUUGAGUAACAUUUUGAAUGCAGGACUUAACAGAAUAUUCUGCACUCUGGUACUUUUACUAGAAAAUAUAAGUAGCCUACUUAUCCCACCUCUGAUUAACAUGCAUUAAUAUAUAUAAUUCAGUAUGCUGUGCCAGGUUUGUGUACACUAAAAUAACUAAGAAGACAAAAUAAAACAACCUUUGAUAGCUCCAUUAAAGAUUGAAAUGGAAUUGACCAACCUUAGGGAAACUCCCACCGGUCUUUAGUAUGACAUUCCGGAAAUGCUGCUACUUAAUGGCGAGGUCAUUGAUACCUCAGUGCUUGAUACACAGCAGGAGGAGGCAGAUAGCAGCAGUAGGGAUUCAGCUGCCGUUGGAUGAGGAAUUUAUCGGCGUAUGAAGAAGGAAACAAUAUUUUUUCACCGACAUUAUUCAGCGGGUCUCUCUGAUGCUACGCUGUUUGUUGCUGUUUAUUCAUCCUACCAAAAGAGAAGGAAAAUAAAACCCUACAUUUUAAAUCAGCCGAACUUCUGACAGCCUUUACAACAGGAGCCAUGGUGGCAGCAGUCCUUAAGUUGUAUUUGAUUGGAACGGCUCUGAGUGUCCUUGUUGUCUUUUAUGUCAUCGUGGACUCCUUUGGUGGACUGAUGUACGUCCAGGACGAUCACUACACAACGGACCAGCAGACACAGAGACAGAUCUCCUCAGGCCACAACAGGAAACGAUCACCUGUGACUAAAAACAUUGACUAAUAAGGAGAACCUUUAGGUCACAAUGGACUUUUGUGGCAAUGAUUGUCCAAUCGCUGUGGAUUAUAAAUAUCCUGCUUCCAUUCCUAAGUAUGGACAUCAUGAUAAUGUCUAACAUGCAGGACGUAUACUGGAUUAGACACUUGUCUUUGUCAGAGCAGCUCUACAACCAAUGAUACAUGUAACGGCACUACUGAACAAUGAUUUGCACUAAAAAUUAGAGUUUGUUUAUUUAUGAUGUGAAAUGUAAGAGUUGUUUUUUUUCAUUCAAAUAAAGUCAUUUUUAAAUGUU
Molecule: long non-coding RNA, 1425 nt
Organism: Gymnodraco acuticeps
Lineage: Eukaryota; Metazoa; Chordata; Actinopteri; Perciformes; Bathydraconidae
Exons: 2
Source: RefSeq, a predicted model, not a curated record